UAGCAUUUGGUUUGUAGGCAGUGUAGUUAGCUGAUUGUAUCCGUUUCCCCGAGCAAUCACUAGCUUCACUGUUAUCAAAACAAGGCGCA
Molecule: microRNA precursor, 89 nt
Filed under: Podarcis lilfordi (Lilford's wall lizard)
Lineage: Eukaryota; Metazoa; Chordata; Lepidosauria; Squamata; Lacertidae
Rfam family: mir-34 microRNA precursor family (bases 9-81)
About the family: Human mir-34a was discovered computationally and later experimentally verified. The mature sequence is excised from the 5' arm of the hairpin.
Source: RNAcentral